Hermetia illucens (black soldier fly) is the source of this 628-nucleotide long non-coding RNA. RefSeq lists it as uncharacterized. The transcript is spliced from 3 exons. The record is from RefSeq and is a predicted model, not a curated record. Lineage: Eukaryota; Metazoa; Arthropoda; Insecta; Diptera; Stratiomyidae.
GAUAUGUACAAUGAAAGCGGCUUCUGAUCCGUCUCUAUCAUUUCCUAUUUGUCCGUUUCUGAAUACUAUUAUCGUGCUAUUUGUCUGAAUAAGAAGAAUAUUGGGCGUGUCCUGUAGCUGUCGCCAAGUUUGGAUGAAUGUGUGAUAUCCUAGCCGCCUUUCAAGAGAUGACUAAGAUAAUUUGCAAGAUCACUGAUCUUUACCAGAACAGUGAUGACAGUCCAGAAGCCGCAGUUGUUCGUCUUUUUCCAAAAAAAUAAUCAAGAUACAGGAAUCGCUGAUAGCCACGAUCACGUAGGUGAAUUCGUCUCCUGUACCUUCUCAUAACAAACCACUUAAAAUAUCUUUGAUUUUGAGCUAUUCCUCGCUGAAAAGUUCUUUCUACCAAAUGAUCAUAAUAAUAACCCAAUGACGAAAAAUAUUAUGCCAAUUGAGAAUUCCAAACCGAGGCUAAGUUUUGCGGUUUUUCGAGCGAUUGUUUGACAAUAAUAAUAUGGUGAACGUGAUCAAGUAAUAAGGUUUGAUCGCGUUAAGUGAAUGAAUAAGACACUCUUAAGAUAUACACAAGCUACUGGUUUUCGUUUGAGAGGACGGAGAUAUGCUGACACUUUUUUAUGUCUUCAUUUUG